Molecule: transfer RNA, 65 nt
Filed under: Staphylinidae sp. BMNH 1274698
Lineage: Eukaryota; Metazoa; Arthropoda; Insecta; Coleoptera; Staphylinidae
Description: tRNA-Leu
Source: RNAcentral
AUUAUUUUGGCAGAUUAGUGCUUUAAAUUUAGAAUUUAAUUAUAUAGAGUUUUCUAUAAAUAAUA